RNAcentral lists this ribosomal RNA (241 nucleotides) under uncultured Staphylococcus sp. RNAcentral's name for it is "partial 16S ribosomal RNA". It matches the Rfam family "Bacterial small subunit ribosomal RNA", at positions 99 to 334 of the family's 1533-position model. Lineage: Bacteria; Bacillati; Bacillota; Bacilli; Caryophanales; Staphylococcaceae. The record is from RNAcentral.
CGGACGGGUGAGUAACACGUGGAUAACCUACCUAUAAGACUGGGAUAACUUCGGGAAACCGGAGCUAAUACCGGAUAAUAUUUUGAACCGCAUGGUUCAAAAGUGAAAGACGGUCUUGCUGUCACUUAUAGAUGGAUCCGCGCUGCAUUAGCUAGUUGGUAAGGUAACGGCUUACCAAGGCAACGAUGCAUAGCCGACCUGAGAGGGUGAUCGGCCACACUGGAACCGAGACACGGUCCAG